GGGGAACCAGGGGGCACAGCCACAUGAGCAGCACCAACCUGGCCCGUCCUGUCCUGUCCCAUCCUGCUUGGGCCCGUGCUCCCUACCCGGCUGCUCUCCGGAUUCUGGCAGUUUUGGAACCAGCUGUGGCAGUGAGAAGCCAGGAGCUGAACCCAGCACCCUCCAGUUUCUAAAGGGUGGGAUAUAGCUCACUCUCUCACCGCUGGUAUCUCCUGGCCCCUUGGCAGGCACUACUGCCCCUGUGUUCUCCCCCAUCCCAUGGUCUCCCCGUGCUAACCACCACCACCAUUGGUCCUACCGUGCAGCGCCGUGCUCCCCCUGCCCGUGCUGGGGCCAGCAGCCCCCAGGAGCUCAGCCACCCUGCAGUGCCAAGCCUGGCUGGGGGCGAGGAGCGGUCCCCAUGGGGCGGCAGCGCCCGUUUGUCCUCUCUGUCUGGGAGGGCCUGGCAGGGCCUGUGCUGCUGUGACAUCAACAGGCCUAAAUAUAUCCCUGGUGAAGAAUG
Long non-coding RNA from Vidua chalybeata, 502 nucleotides. RefSeq lists it as uncharacterized. NCBI's taxonomy places the organism in Eukaryota, Metazoa, Chordata, Aves, Passeriformes, Viduidae. The transcript has 2 exons. The record is from RefSeq and is a predicted model, not a curated record.